ACUCAAAUGAAUUGACGGGGGCCCGCACAAGCAGCGGAGCGUGUGGUUUAAUUCGAUGCGACGCGAAGAACCUUACCUGGGUUAAAUCUAUCCUGACCGCCGGUGAAAGCCGGUUUCCCUUCGGGGCAGGGUGGAAGGUGCUGCACGGCUGUCGUCAGCUCGUGCCGUGAGGUGUUGGGUUAAGUCCCGCAACGAGCGCAACCCCUAUCGCUAGUUGUACUUCUCUAGCGAGACUGCCGGUACAAAACCGGAGGAAGGCGGGGAUGACGUCAAGUCAGCGUGGCCCUUACGUCCAGGGCUACACACACGCUACAAUGGCCGGUACAGCGAGUUGCGACACGGCGACGUGAAGCUAAUCUCUUAAAACCGGCCUCAGUUCAGAUUGCAGGCUGAAACUCGCCUGCAUGAAGUUGGAGUUGCUAGUAACCGUGGGUCAGCACACCACGGUGAAUACGUUCCCGGGCCUUGUACACACCGCCCGU
Molecule: ribosomal RNA, 482 nt
Filed under: uncultured bacterium
Lineage: Bacteria
Description: partial 16S ribosomal RNA
Rfam family: Bacterial small subunit ribosomal RNA
Source: RNAcentral